This 498-nucleotide ribosomal RNA is filed under the name uncultured Glomeromycotina. RNAcentral's name for it is "partial small subunit ribosomal RNA". It matches the Rfam family "Eukaryotic small subunit ribosomal RNA", at positions 591 to 1092 of the family's 1831-position model. The record is from RNAcentral. Lineage: Eukaryota; Fungi; Glomeromycota.
CCAAUAGCGUAUAUUAAAGUUGUUGCAGUUAAAAAGCUCGUAGUUGAAUUUCGGGGUUCUUCCGUUGGUCGGGCUAUCCAGUCUGUACUAGCGUGUAGAAUUCCUACCUUCUGGGGAACCAUCAUGUUAUUAAUUUAGCGUGGUGGGAAACCAGGACCUUUACCUUGAAAAAAUUAGAGUGUUCAAAGCAGGCUUACGUCUGAAUACAUUAGCAUGGAAUAAUAGAAUAGGACGGUGGUCCUGUUUUGUUGGUUUCUGAAUCACCGUAAUGAUUAAUAGGGAUAGUUGGGGGCAUUAGUAUUCAAUUGUCAGAGGUGAAAUUCUUGGAUUUAUUGAAGACUAACUUCUGCGAAAGCAUUUGCCAAGGAUGUUUUCGUUAAUCAAGAACGAAAGUUAGGGGAUCGAAGACGAUCAGAUACCGUCGUAGUCUUAACCAUGAACUAUGCCGACUAGGGAUCGGACGAUGUUAAAUUUUAUUGACUCGUUCGGCGCCUUACG